This 70-nucleotide transfer RNA is filed under the name Thyrsites atun (snoek). RNAcentral's name for it is "tRNA-Arg". It matches the Rfam family "tRNA". From Rfam's summary of the family: Transfer RNA (tRNA) molecules are approximately 80 nucleotides in length. Their secondary structure includes four short double-helical elements and three loops (D, anti-codon, and T loops). Lineage: Eukaryota; Metazoa; Chordata; Actinopteri; Scombriformes; Gempylidae. The record is from RNAcentral.
AGGUAAUUAGUAUAAUGUAAUACACUUGAUUUCGGCUCCAGCACUUAUGGUUAAAAUCCAUGAUUACCUA